RNAcentral lists this ribosomal RNA (502 nucleotides) under uncultured bacterium. RNAcentral describes it as "bacterial SSU rRNA". It matches the Rfam family "Bacterial small subunit ribosomal RNA", at positions 30 to 504 of the family's 1533-position model. The record is from RNAcentral.
UGAACGCUGGCGGCGUGCUUAACACAUGCAAGUCGAACGAGAACGCUUCAGCUUGCUGAAGCUAGUAAAGUGGCGUACGGGUGAGUAACGCGUGGGUAAUCUACCUUCGAAUCGGGGAUAACGCUGCGAAAGCGGUGCUAAUACCGGAUAAUAUCUUUUGGGCCUUGGCCUUUUAGAUCAAAGGUGGCCUCUACAUGUAAGCUACCAUUUGAAGAUGAGCCCGCGUACCAUUAGCUUGUUGGUGGGGUAACGGCCUACCAAGGCCGCGAUGGUUAGCUGGUCUGAGAGGAUGAUCAGCCACACUGGAACUGACACACGGUCCAGACUCCUACGGGAGGCAGCAGUGAGGAAUUUUGCGCAAUGGGGGAAACCCUGACGCAGCAACGCCGCGUGAGUGAUGAAGGCUUUCGGGUCGUAAAACUCUGUCAAGUGGGAAGAAACUGCUUCAUGUUAAUAUCAUGUUGCAUUGACGGUACCAUUGAAGGAAGCACCGGCUAACUCC